AUGGAGCCUGAUAGGGAGGGUGCAAAGGCAGACAAGUCCCUAGAAUGCAGCCAUGCAAAUCUUGCAGGCAAUGUAAACCAGCGGGGUCACACAGCAACCAAUGGGUUUGGAAUGCAAACUCACACAACAGCAAAUACAGAUGGACCAGUAGAAAAUGGGCACAAGGGCAACACACCUCUGGGCAGUGAAAAAAUCACAAUACUUGAUGACACCCCAAUAUCAUCAGCCCCACCUCUCGACCGUUUUGUGCAUCACACACCAAGUCCAGCCACUGGUGUUCCAUACAUGGCCAGCUCCAGCACUCCUGCAACAAGCAAGUCAUGCCUAGCCCCUAGUAGCCAAAAGAAAGGGGGAACACCCACAUCAGUGCAAUCCAGGGAAGCCCAUGCAGCACAGCUGGCAACGGCUACGAUCAGGGAGAAGCUACGAUUGGGGCCACUCGCACAGCAGCAAGCAAUGCAACAGGCACAAGCUGGCUCAUCAAACCCUGUAUUCACACCAUCAAGUUACACCAACCACCCAGUCAGAGCAACACAAGAUUGUCCAUCUUUCGAUCUUAACAUAAGUUUUCACGAAGAUGAGGGCACCAACAGAGGCCAAUCCACAUAA
Molecule: ribosomal RNA, 609 nt
Filed under: Triticum aestivum (bread wheat)
Lineage: Eukaryota; Viridiplantae; Streptophyta; Magnoliopsida; Poales; Poaceae
Description: partial small subunit ribosomal RNA
Source: RNAcentral